Molecule: long non-coding RNA, 250 nt
Organism: Diceros bicornis minor
Lineage: Eukaryota; Metazoa; Chordata; Mammalia; Perissodactyla; Rhinocerotidae
Exons: 3
Source: RefSeq, a predicted model, not a curated record
AGGAUAUAUCAGUUAUAAAAUAUCUUUUGACUCAUGAGAGAAGCUAAGACUAUUUCAGCAGACUUGGUGGCUAAGGAGAAAACAAUUACCACUUAUGUUUUGCAACUCUGAUAAAUAAGUUCCUACAGGAAGCUAAAAACGAAUGUUCCUGUGUUGGCCUUGAUAACCUUCCUUCCAUCACUUCACAAUAACUCUCAAGCUGCUGCAACCCUUCCUAUGCCCACUUCCACAAGCAAAUUUCAGAUCUUUC